Numida meleagris (helmeted guineafowl) is the source of this 1704-nucleotide long non-coding RNA. RefSeq lists it as uncharacterized. NCBI's taxonomy places the organism in Eukaryota, Metazoa, Chordata, Aves, Galliformes, Numididae. The transcript is spliced from 3 exons. The record is from RefSeq and is a predicted model, not a curated record.
GACUAAAUCCAUGCCUGAAAUACACAUGAGCCCUGGCCUGAUCUUGGAAGCAGUCUUCCUUGUUCCAUACUCUCCUUCUUCUUGCUUAAGUUGCAUUUGUUAUUUCCACUGUCUUUGCACUGGAAGUGCAGAUCCUCUCAUCAAGAAGAAACUACAGGAAAGCAUUCGGUCACUGUGAGUGACAUAGUGCUUCACCUGGGGAAGCCACAGCUCUGAGCAGUGCAGAACUACUGGGGAACCAGCGAGGGACAGCAGCAGGAGCCUGGGUGGACAGAGAGAUCCCACCAGGGGCUGAGUGAGGCCCAUUUGCAUUCAGGAUGGUUGUGGUGCUGGUCCACUGGAGCUGCGCAGCCACAUGUGCUGCUUUCCAUCAGGCAGGAGGUGAGCAGAGACACUGGCCCAUCUCACAAUCCCAGCCCAAGUGACGGGCAUGGGUCUGCCAUAGCUCCUGCUCCUGCUCUGAAAUGUGUGAUUGUGUUGACCUCUAGUGGCUGCAAGGAAGAGAGGGCCAGACCUCCAGAUUUUGUGAUCCUCCAUGACAUGCUUUGGCCAUUUCACAUUCAAGAUGCACAGUCUUCUGCCUCCAGGAGCAUCUCCAGCAAGGAUCUCAAGAGACUGCCUUCGCAAGGGGGAAUGGGAGCAGAAUGUCCCUGAGCUAAGCUCUCAUGGACCAUUCUGUUAGAAACAGAGAUUUGUAGAUAUGGGUCUUGCAUCCUAUGGGUGUGUUCUUCUCUUCCAGCCAAGGCAUUGAAAUUUUGAUUGGGCUAGGAAAGAAUUCUGGCCAUUUCGAAUGACUCUGUGAAUCAACUGUCUGUGGAGCAUUUUCCCUUUUCAGUGAGAAGUACCAUUUAUUGGGUUUGAUGAUGGUUCAGGUAAACUAAAAGGAUUGUUUGUGAUUCUGUGUGGAAGCAGCAGUUCUGCACAGAGAUGGCCCCAAGGCAGCCCUUGAUGUUGGGUUUCUGGGCUGGAGGUCAGCCCUGCCCUGUGCCUUCCAGUAGAUUUUCAGCCUCACUAGGGUCUGAGAAGACUGUCAGAAGUAGGCAGUGUUUAUCCCAACUGAAGCUCAAAAUUUAGCUGUAAUUGAAGCCAGUACUGAAAGCCUCUGUUUGGAAACUGUAAAAAAUGAGCUAUCUUGCAUCUGUAACCAAAAGUGGGCAUAAAUAAUUGAUAAUAGAUAAAAUUUGCUAAAAUACAUCAAGGAUGCCAUCUGUCUUCUUGCCAGUUUUUAUACUGAAUAAUCAAAAAGUUUUAGUGGAGAUGGAUGACAGCAUUUAACACCAGCCGUUUUGUGCACACUGUUAUUAUAAGUUGCCUGUAAUUUGAAAAUUGUGCUGCGGGCUAAAGGAGAUUGCAAUAAGAAAAAAAAUACCAGGAAAACCACCAAUACAGCUCUCUGAAAGCAAAUGGAAUACUGUGUCUAGCGCAUGUCACAACAGUACUGUGGAAGCUUCCCAACUUGCCCUCCAGCUGAGACCCUGCUUGUUUGGGUCCUGGCAGGGACUUGCAGGCUGCUGUUUCCUGGUGUGUGUACCAGCUGGGUCCGAGCUUUUCUUGUAGGGAAAUUGCAGUGCAGGAGCCAUUGCUUGUCUGACAGGAAGAUAGCUCUUCACUGGCCACAAGGUGCUUGAAGCUAUGAAAUAGCUGAACUAGGGCCUGUUUUUUCAGAUAUGUCACCUGGCUUAAAUAAAAGAUUACCUCUUCUCA